RNAcentral lists this ribosomal RNA (425 nucleotides) under uncultured bacterium. RNAcentral's name for it is "bacterial SSU rRNA". It matches the Rfam family "Bacterial small subunit ribosomal RNA", at positions 917 to 1344 of the family's 1533-position model. The record is from RNAcentral.
GGACCCGCACAAGCGGUGGAGCAUGUGGUUUAAUUCGAUGCAACGCGAAAAACCUUACCUACUCUUGACAUACUUGGGAGCUCUUGUAAUGAGAGUGUGCCUUUUGGAACCAAGAUACAGGUGCUGCAUGGCUGUCGUCAGCUCGUGUCGUGAGAUGUUCCGUUAAGUCGGAUAACGAGCGCAACCCUUACCCUUAUUUGCCAGCGAUUCGGUCGGGAACUAUAAGGGGACUGCCGGUGAUAAACCGGAGGAAGGUGAGGACGACGUCAAGUCAUCAUGGCCCUUACGAGUAGGGCUACACACGUGCUACAAUGCCCAGCACAAUGGGAUGCAACACCGCGAGGUUGAGCAAAUCCACAAAACUGGGCCCAGUUCGGAUUGGAGUCUGCAACUCGACUCCAUGAAGUUGGAAUCGCUAGUAAUGG